CUAUUGGCGAGAUAACGAUGGUGUGGAUCACUAAUUUUAACCAUCGAUUAUAUUUUAAUCAAUGACCAGAUUGAUUCUUGGUCUAUUUGUUUCUCUCGAUCUUACGCGACUUUUGCUUUCUUCUUCAAUCGUUCAUUUCUCUCACACACAACACAGAUUCAUCAAUCAAGCUGUCCGCCUUCUGAUUGUGCGACAGAGACCAAGCGAAGUGGUGGAACAGAGAGAGGAGAUAGAGCUCGGAGAUGCAGAGAAAGAAGAAGAUGCGACGGUCGGUCUCGAACUCGCCCUCAUGGUCACCGGUCUCUAGCUCGUUCCCGUCUCACCAGCACCACCACCGACGCGCUCGUCACCACCACUACUCCCUUCGAUUCCGUCGCACUCUUCACCACCACCACGGUCCUAUAUAUAUAUAUAUAUGUAUAUAUAUAUAUCUCUCUCUUUCUAUCUUUUUAAUCUGAUUUGUUUUGGUGAAUCUGACUUGUUUUGUUCCAAUUUUUGUAGAUUAACCUCCAUUCUUCGUUGAUGGGACAAUGAUUGAAGACCUUCACGGUGGUGGAAGAAGACCUUGACGGGACAGUGGUUGAAGACUUUGACGGUGGAAGAAGAAGAGGAAGCUAUUGCGGCUGGACUCUUAUUUUUUUAGGUUUAGGUUUUUUCAGAUUUGGUUUAGUGUAAACCAAGUUGGGGAAAUUGUGCUGGUUUGACUUUAGUGUUUAAUUUUGGUUUGUUUUGUAAACCGAAAUUUAUAUGUAAACCCAU
RNAcentral lists this long non-coding RNA (759 nucleotides) under Brassica napus (rape). Its description in RNAcentral is "long non-coding RNA (BNAP_LNC014976)". The record is from RNAcentral. Lineage: Eukaryota; Viridiplantae; Streptophyta; Magnoliopsida; Brassicales; Brassicaceae.